CUCAUAGUGGUUCCCUCUAUGUGAUGAGCCUCUUUUCUCUUCCUUUCAAAAUUCUCUUUGAUUUCUAACAGUUUGAUCAUAAUGUGUCAUAGUGAAGUUUUAUUUGGGUUGAGCCUGAUCAGAGACCUUUCGGAUUCAUGUACCUGGCUGUUCAUCUCUCUCUCCACAUUUGGGAAGUUUUCAUGCAAAGAUGAUGUCUCAUAAACCCCACAGGCUUCUUAUAUCACUCUCUUUUUUCCCCUGUCCUCUGAUUGAUUUUCAAGUAACCAGCCCUUGAAUUCACAGGUGCUCUAUUCUGCUUAAGUAUGCUGUCGUACUAUCCUUCACUUUUUUCAUUGCAUUCAUUGUGUGCUAAACCCGCAGGAUUUCUGUUUGGUACAUUUUUAUAGUUUCUCUCUACUUUUCUGUUUGUUCUUGUAUUGUUUUUCAGAUUUGUUGUCUAUAUGUGUUCUUUAAGGAAACUCACUGAGCUUUCUUAAAAUUAUUAUCUUAAAUUCUUUGUCAGACAAUUUGUCGAUCUCUAUAUCUUUGGGUUGAUUACUUCGGUAGUGUCUUUUCCCUUGAGUCUUCGUGUUCCUUAAGUCUGUUUCUUCACUUUUUUUUUAUGUAGUUGUAGAUGGACACAGUACCUUUUUUUAUUUAUUUUUAUGUGAUGCUGAGGAUCAAACCCAGUGCCUCACAUGUGCAAGGCAAGUGCUCUACCACUGAGCCACAACUUCAGCCCCAUGUUGUCUUCACUUUUGAAGAAAUUAUCACCUCCUCCACUGGUUUUGGGAGAGAAUCACCUUCACCAAACCACCCAGCUAUGUCCUCUGACCUUUCUCAGAACUUUUCUAAUGCUCACUCUAUUACCUCUAGUUCCUUCUUGAAAAAAGUGAAAAGAUUAAGAUUGUAUGCCUUCUCUCCACCCCACAAAUCCAGGUCAGGUGCUGAGAACUUCCUUUUUGUUUUAACUAGGGCAAUGCCCUGAAAUGCUCAAGUCUGUGUGCUUGCUACGGAUACUGCAGCUUGAACCAGUCAUCUGUAUGAGAUACUUUCACUUGCUAUCUGCCCAGGAAAGCUCAAGAAGACAGCAUGGGGGAGCAGAACAUUUGGUUUGCCCAGGGACCCAUUUGGUGCCACAGGCAAGUAAUCUCAAGUGUCUCAUGGUCAGGAUUCCUGAUGGGGUCCAUAGAAUGUUUACUAGAGUCGAUGGCCUCUCUUUCAUGCUCCCAUCUUCUCCCAACCAUUCACUUGUGAUGAUCACCUUAGUGGUCUGAGUGGAACAAGAAGUGGACCUUUCAGACAGCAUAUCACACAGCCAGG
This 1305-nucleotide long non-coding RNA is filed under the name Marmota monax (woodchuck). The record is from RNAcentral. Lineage: Eukaryota; Metazoa; Chordata; Mammalia; Rodentia; Sciuridae.